UCAUAAGGGNGGCGGCNGUNGGGNUUCUUCCGCNUUGGGCGNNGGCCUGNCGGAGCAACGCCGCGUGAGUGAUGAAGGUCUUCGGAUCGUAAAACUCUGUUAUCAGGGAAGAACAAACGUGUAAGUAACUGUGCACGUCUUGACGGUACCUGAUCAGAAAGCCACGGCUAACUACGUGCCAGCAGCCGCGGUAAUACGUAGGUGGCAAGCGUUAUCCGGAAUUAUUGCGCGUAAAGCGCGCGUAGGCGGUUUUUUAAGUCUGAUGUGAAAGCCCACGGCUCAACCGUGGAGGGUCAUUGGAAACCGGAAAACUUGAGUGCAAAAAAGGAAAAUGGAAUUCCCUGUGUAGCGGUGAAAUGCCCAAAAAAAUGGAGAAACACCAGUGGGGAAAGCGACUUUCUGGCCUGUAACUGACCCUGAUGUGCGAAACCGGGGGGAACAACAGGGAUAAAAACCCCGGAAGUCCCCCCGUAAAACCAAGAGGGCUAAAUGGAGGGG
This 498-nucleotide ribosomal RNA is filed under the name bacterium 82_VP7_A8. Its description in RNAcentral is "partial 16S ribosomal RNA". It matches the Rfam family "Bacterial small subunit ribosomal RNA", at positions 337 to 828 of the family's 1533-position model. The record is from RNAcentral.